Molecule: long non-coding RNA, 171 nt
Organism: Ipomoea nil (Japanese morning glory)
Lineage: Eukaryota; Viridiplantae; Streptophyta; Magnoliopsida; Solanales; Convolvulaceae
Exons: 3
Source: RefSeq, a predicted model, not a curated record
UCAAAUUAGUGAGAUUGUUGAAUUCAAAUGGAAUUUGACCACUAAGAUUAUUUGAAGGCAACCAUAACUCUUGAAGAGAUGUCAACUUUCCUAACUCCUUAGGAAUGGAUCCAGAGAGCUGAUUUUCCCAUAGAAAUAAAUAUACCAACAUUGACAAGUUCCCAAGUGAGA